UCGAGGAUCAUUCGCAAUGCGCGAAAGCGUGACGGUGCGACGCCGCGUGCAGGAUGAAGGCCUUCGGGUCGUAAACUGCUGUCAUGAGGGAACAAUGUCCGGAAUGUUAACACCAUCUCGGGGUGAUAGUACCUCAAGAGGAAGCCACGGCUAACUCUGUGCCAGCAGCCGCGGUAAUACAGAGGCGGCGAGCGUUGUUCGGAUUUACUGGGCGUAAAGGGUGCGUAGGCGGUUCUGUGUGUCGGAUGUGAAAGCUCACAGCUCAACUGUGGAAUUGCAUUCGAAACUACAGGGCUGGAGUACAGGAGAGGAGAGCGGAAUUCUCGGUGUAGCGGUGAAAUGCGUAGAUAUCGAGAGGAACACCGGUGGCGAAGGCGGCUCUCUGGACUGAUACUGACGCUGAGGCACGAAAGCUGGGGGAGCAAACA
This 428-nucleotide ribosomal RNA is filed under the name uncultured prokaryote. Its description in RNAcentral is "bacterial SSU rRNA". It matches the Rfam family "Bacterial small subunit ribosomal RNA", at positions 355 to 774 of the family's 1533-position model. The record is from RNAcentral.